Long non-coding RNA from Nasonia vitripennis (jewel wasp), 1433 nucleotides. RefSeq lists it as uncharacterized. NCBI's taxonomy places the organism in Eukaryota, Metazoa, Arthropoda, Insecta, Hymenoptera, Pteromalidae. The record is from RefSeq and is a predicted model, not a curated record. The transcript is spliced from 2 exons.
UGACCGGCAACGUCGCUAUGGAGAUUUCCCGUCCUCCCGCCAAGCGUCAUUCUUUCUGAGUAUACCAAAAGGGAUAAAGCGAGUUUACAGCAGCGCAGUUUCAAUUCGAUCUCGAACGAGUGAACGUCCAAAAGCUAUAGACAACAAGUGUAUUUUUAUUGAGUGCACUUUCAACUCUUCAGGCACAAAUUCUUUAUCACAACUACCAACACCGAUACUGUUUAAGGGAAGUCUGCGCAAGCGUCAUGCGUCAUCUACUUGCUGAAGGGUUUCGUAUUACGGAAUAACGGCGCCGAGUCUCCAAAGCUCGAUACUUCUGUCUGGUUUUUUUAUGAAAUAAGAAUUUCCAAACAAAAUGGGCCAUCGAAGACACGAAGAUCCGUUUGAUAACAUGGUGCGACACAUGUGCAAGAAUGAUGCUCUGGUACAUAAUGUGGAACAGGUGUCACAAUUGAAUAGUACACAAUGCGAUCCGGUUGUUGUGCAAAUGGCUACUGAACUUUCAAGAGAACUUAACAAAGCUAAAGAACGGAGAGCGGUAACCAAGAGAUUUAUAUACUUAUUUCUACUGAUUUAUUUUAUUUACUUAACCCUGGUAGAAAUGAGUCUAAGAACAGGCUAGUAACUGGCCAGUUCUUAGGGUCAUUUCUACCAGGGUAAGAAUUAAAAGGAAAUAAAAUCGAUCACGACUCGUAAAAAAUCUUACAAAUAAUAUCUGAAAUAUCUGAAAUGAUAUGAAUUUUAGUAUUCUACAAAAAAUUAUUUUUAUAAUAUACUAAAUUGUAAGUGGUCAAUUGGCAUGCAUGAAUAUCGAUUUCAGUUUAUAUGCUAUUUGAAUAAUUCUACAAAUUUGCUAAAUUAUUUCUAUAUGAUACGAAUAAAUGUUUAUUAUGCCUGUCUAAAAUUUAGUAACUAUCAUAGAAUUGACAUUUCUAGCUAUCCUUUGUCAAAUACAUUUUACAUACUUGCAUAGGAAUUCUCGAUGCCUUACGUUCGAGCAAUAUCGAGCAUUAGAGUUUACGUUCUGUUUGACUCAACAGUUUAAAUUACUAUUAUAUGUGAACUUGUGUCUGCGCAUAUACGAAAAAGACUAUGCGUUUGGAAAAAUCGAUGAAAAGAAGUCCAAGAAUGAAGUUGUGAUACACAAUCUGGAGCUGAUGACAAUGAAUAGAGGGCAAUAUUAUCCAGUUGCUGUGCAGGUGACUAUACUGAAUUUUCAAAGGUACUUUUUAAAAAACAUUGAAGGUUAAUUUUUGUACACACUUUAAUUUAAAAGUAGAUUAUUCUAAUUUACUUUUUUUCUCUACUACUACAAACGUUUCAAUUUGCUUAAGCGACAUAAACACAAAUACUAUAUUUUAAAAAUAAGUGAUACAUGAAAGUAAAUUGUGUAGUCAAAGCUAGGUAAUAAUAAAAUUCCAAACAUGAUUAAA